RNAcentral lists this ribosomal RNA (303 nucleotides) under uncultured bacterium. RNAcentral's name for it is "partial 16S ribosomal RNA". It matches the Rfam family "Bacterial small subunit ribosomal RNA", at positions 507 to 808 of the family's 1533-position model. The record is from RNAcentral.
AGCAGCAGCCGCGGGAAUACGUAGGGUGCAAGCGUUAAUCGGAAUUACUGGGCGUAAAGCGUGCGCAGGCGGUUCGUUAAGACAGAUGUGAAAUCCCCGGGCUUAACCUGGGAACUGCAUUUGUGACUGGCGGGCUAGAGUAUGGCAGAGGGGGGUAGAAUUCCACGUGUAGCAGUGAAAUGCGUAGAGAUGUGGAGGAAUACCGAUGGCGAAGGCAGCCCCCUGGGCCAAUACUGACGCUCAUGCACGAAAGCGUGGGGAGCAAACAGGAUUAGAUACCCGGGUAGUCCCUGUCUCUUAACA